This 267-nucleotide small RNA is filed under the name Papio anubis (olive baboon). Its description in RNAcentral is "Metazoan signal recognition particle RNA (ENSPANG00000041858.1)". Lineage: Eukaryota; Metazoa; Chordata; Mammalia; Primates; Cercopithecidae. The record is from RNAcentral.
GCCGGGCGAGGUGGCGGGCGCCUGUAGUCCCAGCUACUCUGGAGGCUGAGUCAGGAGAAUGGCGUGAACCCGGGAGGCGGAGCUUGCAGUGAGCUGAGAUCCGGCCACUGCACUCCAGCCUGGGCGACAGAGCGAGACUCUGUCUCAAAAAAAAAAAAAAAAAAAAAAGACAGAGUCUCGCUCUGCCACCCAGGCUGGAGUGCAAUGGCACGAUCUCGGCUCACUACAACCUCUGCCCCCUGGGUUCAAGCGAUUCUCCUGCCUCAG